Molecule: ribosomal RNA, 446 nt
Filed under: uncultured bacterium
Lineage: Bacteria
Description: partial 16S ribosomal RNA
Rfam family: Bacterial small subunit ribosomal RNA
Source: RNAcentral
CCUACGGGUGGCAGCAGUCGAGAAUCAUUCACAAUGGGGGAAACCCUGAUGGUGCGACGCCGCGUGGGGGAAUGAAGGUCUUCGGAUUGUAAACCCCUGUCAUGUGGGAGCAAAUUAAAAAGAUCGUACCACAAGAGGAAGAGACGGCUAACUCUGUGCCAGCAGCCGCGGUAAUACAGAGGUCUCAAGCGUUGUUCGGAAUCACUGGGCGUAAGGCGUGCGUAGGCUGUUUCGUAAGUCGUGUGUGAAAGGCGCGGGCUCAACCCGCGGACGGCACAUGAUACUGCGAGACUAGAGUAAUGGAGGGGGAACCGGAAUUCUCGGUGUAGCAGUGAAAUGCGUAGAUAUCGAGAGGAACACUCGUGGCGAAGGCGGGUUCCUGGACAUUAACUGACGCUGAGGCACGAAGGCCAGGGGAGCGAAAGGGAUUAGAUACCCGAGUAGUC